GUGGGGAAUAUUGGACAAUGGGGGGAACCCUGAUCCAGCCAUGCCGCGUGUGUGAAGAAGGCCUUUUGGUUGUAAAGCACUUUAAGCGAGGAGGAGGCUACCGAGAUUAAUACUCUUGGAUAGUGGACGUUACUCGCAGAAUAAGCACCGGCUAACUCUGUGCCAGCAGCCGCGGUAAUACAGAGGGUGCAAGCGUUAAUCGGAUUUACUGGGCGUAAAGCGCGCGUAGGUGGCCAAUUAAGUCAAAUGUGAAAUCCCCGAGCUUAACUUGGGAAUUGCAGUCGAUACUGGUUGGCUAGAGUAUGGGAGAGGAUGGUAGAAUUCCAGGUGUAGCGGUGAAAUGCGUAGAGAUCUGGAGGAAUACCGAUGGCGAAGGCAGCCAUCUGGCCUAAUACUGACACUGAGGUGCGAAAGCAUGGGGAGCAAACAGGAUUAGAUACCCUGGUAGACC
RNAcentral lists this ribosomal RNA (451 nucleotides) under uncultured bacterium. RNAcentral describes it as "partial 16S ribosomal RNA". It matches the Rfam family "Bacterial small subunit ribosomal RNA", at positions 354 to 796 of the family's 1533-position model. The record is from RNAcentral.